UAUGACCAUAUCAUGUUGAAACAGUUCCCAUAUGAUCACUGAAGUUAAGCAACAUCGAGCCUGGUUAGUACCUAGAUUGAUAACUGCUUGCGAAUACCAGGUGAUGAAG
Molecule: non-coding RNA, 109 nt
Organism: Acanthosepion pharaonis
Lineage: Eukaryota; Metazoa; Mollusca; Cephalopoda; Sepiida; Sepiidae
Source: the annotation of a GenBank genome assembly